AUGAUGCAGAGGAGAAGCAGAUGGCAAAUCGGUUGGUGGAGAUGUGGUUAAGCGACCUCAGAGACUUGGCGUAUGAUCUAGAGGACAUCGUUGAUGAACUUGACACGAAGGUUCAGCGAUGCAUGUUAGAACCCAAACUUGUUCGUUCAAAUAAGGUGCAAAAAUUCUUUUCUGUUAUACGUGAUGGGUUGAAUCUGGAUACUGUUAAGUUCAAUUCCAAGAUGGUCUCCAAGAUAGAGAAAGCUAGUGCCAGAUUAGAUGCGAUCAUUAAACAAAAAGAUGACCUACGUUUAGGAGAGUCCAUGGGAAGGAGGGUCAGCCUUGUGAGAGAAAGACCACCUUCAACCUCUUUGGUGAAUGAAGCAAAGAUUUAUGGUAGGGAGGAAGAUAAGA
This 393-nucleotide unclassified non-coding RNA is filed under the name Hevea brasiliensis (rubber tree). Lineage: Eukaryota; Viridiplantae; Streptophyta; Magnoliopsida; Malpighiales; Euphorbiaceae. The record is from RNAcentral.